This is a long non-coding RNA of Ostrea edulis (European flat oyster), 1865 nucleotides long. RefSeq lists it as uncharacterized. The record is from RefSeq and is a predicted model, not a curated record. NCBI's taxonomy places the organism in Eukaryota, Metazoa, Mollusca, Bivalvia, Ostreida, Ostreidae. The transcript is spliced from 4 exons.
UACAUGAACUACCGGGCAGAUUCAUCUGUAGUGAACAUCAUUACAUGAACUACCGAUUACAUGAACUACCGGGCAGAUUCAUCUGUAGUGAACAUCAUUACAUGAACUACCGGGCAGAUUCAUGUAACUAGAUGACCUUAUGAAUUGAUUGUAUUAUCACUUAUAUUAGUCUUGCAUUAUCUUUAUCGAUUAUAUUAGCCUUAAAUACCGAUUAUAUUAUCAAAUGUACAAUGUAUGUGAGUGAUGCAGGCCUGUGGAAUCGCACUGAUCAUAUUUAGUCAUUUUAGCUGAUGAAAUUAUGUAAGUCCACAUUGCAAACAAAUACAUAAAGGUCAUCAUGUUUUGUACGACCUUUAUGAGUAAAACUCGCGAUACUGUUAUUCCAGUACCUGCAUCACCCAUAGAUGAUUGGCAGUUGGGAGAGUUUUGUUACCGAAAAUGUACACUACUGCAGUUGCGUUUAUUAUAGCGCAUUAGUGUCAAUAAUGCUGAUCACGUACCCAUUUAAUAUAUAUACACGUUUGUAAAUUUGUCAAGACGAGAAGAGAAUAGAACCUGGUAUUGUAUCUGAAUGUUGCGGAGUUUGUGUUAGAAAUAAACUCUGAAAACAACGCGAGUUGAGUAUGAUUAAGACUUCGUUGGUAGAAGUCUGGGUAAUAAGACUUUGUUAGUAUGAGUCUUCAAGUUAAGACUUCGUUGGUAGAAGUCUUAAACAAAUAAUCCGGUUACAGAGGGAUUAUUUUUGGUGCCGUCUUGACCAGGAUUACGGAAGCAGAGUAAGGACAGGACAGGAAGCAGACUUUAAAAAACAAUUGCAGUUAAGAUACACCAGCAACAACGUUGUAGGUCAACAAUAAACAAAAAGUUUAAGUGUUCCAAAGUAAGAGAUCCUAGAAUCACACUUCAGAAAAUCAGCUACUUAUACAUUUAGAUGGAAUGUAUCCUUACAUUUCAACUUUUCCUGACACUCUUUGGAUGAAAUAUAUGAUCUCUUCGGGGGUAUACACCUGACAAUGAGGGACAUAAAGAGAAGCUUUCGAAUAAAUUCUGCCUCAUAAGAAUAUAGAAAGACGCCAGCCAACAAAGGAGCACAAUUCAUGCCAAUGGGAAUUCCAACAGACUAUUGGAAGACCAGAUAACCAAAGACUACAAAGAUAUUGUCAACGAGUGACUUCAGCAUCUUUUUGCCAUCAACUUCAGAGUAGAAUCAGAGUGGUGUUUAACAAAGUAAUUUUAUGAAUGGCUGAUCACUAGGUAUGAAUGAAAAGGUGAAAAUGCUGAGAUAGCAAACAGUAAUAUUUCCUUUUUAAAAAUUGUUGAUGAAAACGCUUAAGAUUUUCAAGAAAACUUGGAAUUUAUAGACAAUUUUGCAUCUAUUUGACAUUUUCAAAAUAGAGAUUUGAAAGUUAAUAGCCACGCUAUCUGGAAAAUUAUGAUUUUGAGAUGAUAAAUCGCUCCUUUUCCUAUAUAUAACCCUGAAUUAAUUAUAUCGUUAAUAUUGAUGAUGGGGGCGUUAACAAACAAGCUUAUAUUUGUAUAUCUCUGUCUCAUGUAUUCCUUUUCUACAAAUAUUGUCUGGCAUGUUAACAUGGCCUUUUAACGCCCCCUUUUCUGACCUUUUCGAAGUUGUACAUAUGUUUGAGUCUAUUUUUUAUAUGCCAAAUAUACCAUAAUUUUUCACUAGUCAUAAUAAUGUCAGAUGACACAUUUUUUGUUCUCAGAUGCUAAUUUUGAGAUGUGGCAAUUUGUCAUUAUACAUUGUCUGUACAUUUUACUUGUAUGUAACUUUUACUUAUAUUUGAAUCCUAGUUUGUGUUCCAUUUACUGUCAUUUAUUGUAUAUGUAAUAAAUGACCUAUUUUAUUC